CUACGGGGGGCACCAGUGGGGAAUAUUGCACAAUGGGCGCAAGCCUGAUGCAGCAACGCCGCGUGAGGGAUGAAGGCCUUCGGGUUGUAAACCUCUUUUAGCAGGGAAGAAGCGAAAGUGACGGUACCUGCAGAAAAAGCACCGGCUAACUACGUGCCAGCAGCCGCGGUAAUACGUAGGGUGCAAGCGUUGUCCGGAAUUAUUGGGCGUAAAGAGCUCGUCGGCGGUUUGUCACGUCUGCUGUGAAAAGCCAAGGCUCAACCUUGGACUUGCAGUGGGUACGGGCAGGCUAGAGUGCGGUAGGGGAGAUGGGAAUUCCUGGUGUAGCGGUGGAAUGCGCAGAUAUCAGGAGGAACACCAAUGGCGAAGGCACAUCUCUGGGCCGUAACUGACGCUGAGGAGCGAAAGCGUGGGGAGCGAACAGGAUUAGAUACCCCCGUAGUC
RNAcentral lists this ribosomal RNA (444 nucleotides) under uncultured bacterium. Its description in RNAcentral is "partial 16S ribosomal RNA". It matches the Rfam family "Bacterial small subunit ribosomal RNA", at positions 339 to 795 of the family's 1533-position model. The record is from RNAcentral.